RNAcentral lists this ribosomal RNA (806 nucleotides) under marine metagenome. RNAcentral describes it as "bacterial SSU rRNA". It matches the Rfam family "Bacterial small subunit ribosomal RNA", at positions 703 to 1520 of the family's 1533-position model. The record is from RNAcentral.
AGAAUACCAAUUGCGAAGGCAGCUUUUUGGAUCAUUACUGACACUGAGGAACGAAAGCAUGGGUAGCGAAGAGGAUUAGAUACCCUCGUAGUCCAUGCCGUAAACGAUGUGUGUUAGACGUUGGAAAUUUAUUUUCAGUGUCGCAGCGAAAGCGAUAAACACACCGCCUGGGGAGUACGACCGCAAGGUUAAAACUCAAAUGAAUUGACGGGGACCCGCACAAGUAGUGGAGCAUGUGGUUUAAUUCGAAGAUACGCGCAGAACCUUACCAACACUUGACAUGUUCGUCGCGACUUUAAGAGAUUAAAGUUUUCGGUUCGGCCGGACGAAACACAGGUGCUGCAUGGCUGUCGUCAGCUCGUGUCGUGAGAUGUUGGGUUAAGUCCCGCAACGAGCGCAACCCUCACUUUUAGUUGCCAUCAUUUAGUUGGGCACUCUGAAAGAACUGCCAGUGAUAAGCUGGAGGAAGGUGGGGAUGACGUCAAGUCCUCAUGGCCCUUACGUGUUGGGCUACACACGUGCUACAAUGGUAUCUACAACAGGAAGCAAGACGGCGACGUUAAGCAAAUCCUUAAAAGAUACCUCAGUUCGGAUUGCACUCUGCAACUCGAGUGCAUGAAGCUGGAAUUACUAGUAAUCGUGGAUCAGCGUGCCACGGUGAAUGCGUUCCCGGGUCUUGUACACACCGCCCGUCACACCAUGGGAGUUGGUUCUACCUUAAGGCAAGGUUUAAAAUCCUUGACCACGGUAUAGUCAGCGACUGGGGUGAAGUCGUAACAAGGUAGCCGUAGGGGAACCUGCGGCUG